Molecule: long non-coding RNA, 729 nt
Organism: Saccostrea echinata
Lineage: Eukaryota; Metazoa; Mollusca; Bivalvia; Ostreida; Ostreidae
Exons: 4
Source: RefSeq, a predicted model, not a curated record
AGUUACUGGUACUGUCUGAAUGCAGUGAAAGGAUCCAGAUGAACAGAUGAAGAGAUUAAGUACAAUGUACAUCAAUUACUUGGAUGAAGAGAAUCUGCAACAUGGGGAAAUAAUGUUCCUAAAGAAAAGUCAAAGAAUGUAUACAUGUGAGAUUCUGAAGUAGCUGUACAUGAUGAGUAGGAAUUUGAAGUGAAUUAUGGGAAAAGUGAAAUGGUAAAAAAGAAACUGCUAGCGCUACUGUGCAGACUACCAUCAAUCAACAUUAUCAACAAAAUCAAGUAAUCCUUCUGAAGAUGGAGUAGUACACAAGCACAAUUUUUUAAAGAAAGAAAAGUCAAUGGAAUGAAUCUAAAGAAAAGGUGAAGUGAAUUGUCACUCAUUAUAUUUUUUUUUAAUGUGGACAUGGUCAUUAUUUUAGUUAUGUCAUAACCUUCUUAUCAAUUUUAAGCAGUGCAGACAGAUGCAUUUCUUAUUGCUUUGAAUAGAAUAAAUUAUCAAAAAAGUUUGUAUAUGUUUUUUGAUAUAGAAUUUAAAUUAAAAAAAAAAACAAAUUAUCAAUUACUGAAGUUUUGAAUUUCAGUACACUAGAAAUUUUUCUACCCUGCCAUGAAUAUGGCUGGGGCAUAUAGAGUUUAUCAUGUCCGUCUUCCAUCCUUCCAACCUUCUGUCUGUCCUUCCAUUCCGCUUUGCUUUUAGCUCAGUUCAAAACUAAGUUUCAAAGACACUAUU